This 755-nucleotide long non-coding RNA is filed under the name Homo sapiens (human). Its description in RNAcentral is "non-protein coding lnc-JMJD1C-11:1". The record is from RNAcentral. Lineage: Eukaryota; Metazoa; Chordata; Mammalia; Primates; Hominidae.
AUGAACUCUGGAGCCGUGAGGAUCCACAGUAAAGGACAUUUCCAGGGUGGAAUCCAAGUCAAAAAUGAAAAAAACAGACCAUCUUUGAAAUCUCUGAAAACUGAUAACAGGCCAGAAAAAUCCAAAUAUAAGCCACUUUGGGGAAAAGUAUUUUACCUUGACUUACCUUCUGUCACCAUAUCUGAAAAACUGCAAAAGGACAUUAAGGAUCUGGGAGGGCGAGUUGAAGAAUUUCUCAGCAAAGAUAUCAGUUAUCUUAUUUCAAAUAAAAAGGAAGCUAAAUUUGCACAAACCUUGGGUCGAAUUUCUCCUGUACCAAGUCCAGAAUCUGCAAAUACUGCAGAAACCACUUCACCUCAUCCCAGCCAUGAUGGAAGUUCAUUUAAGUCACCAGACACAGUGUGUUUAAGCAGAGGAAAAUUAUUAGUUGAAAAAGCUAUCAAGGACCAUGAUUUUAUUCCUUCAUAUAGUAUAUUAUCAAAUGCCUUGUCAUGGGGAGUAAAAAUUCUUCAUAUUGAUGACAUUAGAUACUACAUUGAACAAAAGAAAAAAGUUGCAUUCACUCAAGAAAUCAAGUACUUCAGUAAGAGAUGGGGGCAAAAGAGUUGGUAGUGGUGCACAAAAAACAAGAACAGGAAGACUCAAAAAGCCUUUUGUAAAGGUGGAAGAUAUGAGCCAAAGCCCUGCAGUCCAUUUGAUGUAGACAAGCCAUCUAGUAUGCAAAAGCAAACUCAGGUUAAACUAAGAAUCCAAAC